This is a long non-coding RNA of Oncorhynchus masou masou (cherry salmon), 1862 nucleotides long. RefSeq lists it as uncharacterized. The record is from RefSeq and is a predicted model, not a curated record. The transcript has 7 exons. Lineage: Eukaryota; Metazoa; Chordata; Actinopteri; Salmoniformes; Salmonidae.
GAGAUGUACCCGCUUGUGUUCCAAAAGACAGCUGACCGCCAUUCAGACUUUUCAUGUCUGCCCAGGGUGCUGACCGGAAAUGCCAUCGCCCUCAUAUGGGGGAGGAGGAGACAGAUACAGGGAACACUGCAGAGACUGGCUAGUCAUCAGAACCACCAACAUGAUGAAAGCCGAGUCAUUACGUCAAUCCACAUUCCUUUAAGUUUGAUGAGGGAGUCUCUCUCGCUCUGCUCUGAAUGAGGCAGGGAUCCCUGUGGACCUGGUGGGUGGCGUUUCCAUUGGCUCCCUGAUGGGGGCGCUGUACACAGAGGACCACAGCCACAUGUGAAAGAGGGCAUGAGAGUGGGCCAUGGACAUGACAUCAGAUUUUAAAAAGGUGUUGGACCUGACCUACCCCAUCACUUCUACGUUCUCUGGCGCUGACUUCAACUCCAGCAUUUACAGUGUUCAAGGGCAAGCAGAUUGAUGAGGCUGCCCUACGUGUGUUGUGUGCAUCAGUGAAGAGCAGUGACUACUGCGAGUACAUCAGACCGCCCACAAACCGCUACAGCACACUGGAGUUUGGCAAGUUCGACAAGAUCCUUGGACCUGUGACUUGUCCCAACGCCUCCUUCACUGACCUGGCUGAGAUCGUGUCCCGCAUCGAGCUGGCCAAACCUGCUCUGGUAGAUGAGCAGUCCGACUACCCCACAGACUAAUAGCAGGAGGCGGUGGGGAGUGCCUACUAAGACAUUGAGCUAUCCAAUCACUACAGCGAACACACCACUAAGGGGGAGGAGACUGCUGACACAGUGCAGUGAAGCUUUGAAUGUCGAUGUUUCUUCUUGGUUUAUCUCGGAUGAAGAUCUGCUGGACAGGGGGUGCAAACGUCGCCAUCCUCCCCGAGGCAUUCGUGUGGGGAGGGGUAAAAUGUGAACUACAGUGUGUAGGCUGAUUCUAUAUGGUGCUUAUGUGCAGGCACAUCCAAGACAGCUGUAAAACACAGCUGAUUUGACUAAUGAAUCAUUAGCCUUUACUUACCUCUAGAACGAGCUUAAUAGAUGUACUCACAUGACAUUAAGCCAAUCAAUGCAGUAUAUAUUUUUUCAUGUGUGUUUAUCCAUACAGUGCAGUAUAAAGCAGUGCCUUUAUCGCAGCUAAUGUUCAUGCUAGCACCAGAAGCCUUGCAUUGUGUUGUAGUAAAUGGAACGUCUCUAUCGAACAGAUCCCAUGUGGUUGUAAGAGUGUGUCCUAAAUAGCACCCUAUUCACUUCAGUGCAUUUUGUAGGGGAUAGGAUGCCACAAGAGACGCAACCUGUCUAAAGUCUGAAAGAAGCAAAGAGGCAGCAUGUGUUGUGUGUGAGAGCACGUCAGAACUGGAAGGAGGAUGUAUCAUGAAUGUGUUAGUGUGGCAUUUCGCUAACGGUUGGCGAAGUUGAUACUACUGUAGGGUCAAUGUAUGGUCAGCCUCACAGUUCUGGAUAGGAUCCAAUUCAAAGGCACAAUUCAUGUGGUACAAUAAACAAGGGCAUAUUGAAUGAAUUAGCUAAAUGGAAAGUGCUGUUGGAUAAUGAUUGACUACAGUGAAACAAUUGAAGAUAUAUGAAUGUGGUGCCACGUUUUACAAAAUGCAUACAUAUAUGCUCAGUGAAUGCAACAACGCUUUUUGUGACUUACUGAACUAAACUGGACAACUUGACCUUUUCAACAUUUCAAGCUGCUCAAUGGUGCCUUUUCUGUUGACUGACUAUUACAUGCUGAUUAGUUCCAUUUUAAUGUUGAGCACAGUUUGCCAAUCACCCUGUAAAGCAAUGAAGGACUCGUGUACUAUUAAGAGUUGCUUCUGUCAAUUGUUACCAGAUAAUGUUUUUGAUAAUCCAGUG